This 254-nucleotide ribosomal RNA is filed under the name uncultured Pseudomonas sp. RNAcentral describes it as "partial 16S ribosomal RNA". It matches the Rfam family "Bacterial small subunit ribosomal RNA", at positions 1131 to 1382 of the family's 1533-position model. The record is from RNAcentral. Lineage: Bacteria; Pseudomonadati; Pseudomonadota; Gammaproteobacteria; Pseudomonadales; Pseudomonadaceae.
UGGGCGACUCUAAGGAGACUGCCGGUGGACAAACCGGAGGAAGGUGGGGAUGACGUCAAGUCAUCAUGGCCCUUACGGCCUGGGCUACACACGUGCUACGAAUGGUCGGUACAAAGGGUUGCCAAGCCGCGAGGUGGAGCUAAUCCCAUAAAACCGAUCGUAGUCCGGAUCGCAGUCUGCAACUCGACUGCGUGAAGUCGGAAUCGCUAGUAAUCGUGAAUCAGAAUGUCACGGUGAAUACGUUCCCGGGCCUU